RNAcentral lists this ribosomal RNA (435 nucleotides) under uncultured rumen bacterium. RNAcentral describes it as "bacterial SSU rRNA". It matches the Rfam family "Bacterial small subunit ribosomal RNA", at positions 958 to 1393 of the family's 1533-position model. The record is from RNAcentral.
AACGCGAAGAACCUUACCCGGGCUUGAACUGCAGCGGAAGGAUACAGAGAUGUUGACGUCCUUCGGGACCGCUGUGGAGGUGCUGCAUGGUUGUCGUCAGCUCGUGCCGUGAGGUGUCGGCUUAAGUGCCAUAACGAGCGCAACCCUUUUCAUUAGUUGCCAUCAGGUUAUGCUGGGCACUCUAGUGAUACUGCCACCGUAAGGUGUGAGGAAGGUGGGGAUGACGUCAAAUCAGCACGGCCCUUACGUCCGGGGCUACACAUGUGUUACAAUGGGUGGUACAGAGAGUAAACUGCCGGCAACGUCAGUUCAAUCAAUAAAGCCAUCCUCAGUUCGGAUUGGGGUCUGCAACCCGACCCCAUGAAGCUGGAUUCGCUAGUAAUCGCGCAUCAGCCAUGGCGCGGUGAAUACGUUCCCGGGUCUUGUACACACCGA